Non-coding RNA from Carassius carassius (crucian carp), 785 nucleotides. NCBI's taxonomy places the organism in Eukaryota, Metazoa, Chordata, Actinopteri, Cypriniformes, Cyprinidae. The record is from the annotation of a RefSeq genome assembly.
UCCACCCAAAUGUAAAUGAUAUUACAUACAGUAUUUCUACCAGCAGUGUUCAAUGAGAUUGUAGCAGUUGACCUUCCUGCAUCAUCUGAAAUGGCAGACAUUUCAUUCUUAUUACUUCUCCUGAUGUGCUUUACUAGUGUAAACAGUCAGAGCUUGGAGUCCAUCCCAUCAAGUCCUGUCCCUAAAAAGCCUGGAGAAACUUUGAAUCUCUCGUGUAAAGCAUCUGGAUUUGAUUUUGGACAGUACGGCAUGCACUGGAUCAGACAGUCAGCAGGACAAACAUUAAUCUGGAUGGGGGUUAUCUGUUUUAAGAUGAAGAGAAGCAGCUUGUUCUCACUCAUCUCAAACCAUGAUCUCUUCAUCUCUCUGGUUGUUGCUGCUGCUGGCAGCUGUUUCUCGUGUUCACUGUGUUGAACUGAUCCAGACUGAUUCUAUGGUCUUAAGUCCUGGUCAGGUUUUGACACUGUCCUGUAAACUCUCUGGAUAUACAGUGACUGACAGCUACUGCACUGGCUUCAUUCGGCAGCCUGCAGGAAAAGCUCUGGAAUGGGUUGGGAUGAUAUGUAGUAGUGGUGGUAGCACAUAUUACAGUGAUAAACUGAAAAGUAGAUUUCAAGUCACCAGAGAUUCUUCCAGCAACACAGUGACUCUUCAAGGACAGAAUAUGCAGACUGAGGACACAUCUGUGUAUUACUGCGCCAGAGACUCACAGUGACACAGAGCAGCUACUGUCUUGUUCAAAAACCACUCUAACACUCGGCACACAAAUAAACAGCUUUAUGCUA